This 415-nucleotide ribosomal RNA is filed under the name uncultured bacterium. RNAcentral describes it as "bacterial SSU rRNA". It matches the Rfam family "Bacterial small subunit ribosomal RNA", at positions 355 to 787 of the family's 1533-position model. The record is from RNAcentral.
UGGGGAAUAUUGCACAAUGGGGGAAACCCUGAUGCAGCGACGCCGCGUGAAGGACGAAGUAUUUCGGUACGUAAACUUCUAUCAGCAGGGAAGAAAAUGACGGUACCUGACCAAGAAGCCCCGGCUAACUACGUGCCAGCAGCCGCGGUAAUACGUAGGGGGCAAGCGUUAUCCGGAUUUACUGGGUGUAAAGGGAGCGUAGACGGCGCUGCAAGUCUGAUGUGAAAACCCGGGGCUCAACCCCGGGAGUGCAUUGGAAACUGUGGUGCUAGAGUGUCGGAGAGGCAAGUGGAAUUCCUAGUGUAGCGGUGAAAUGCGUAGAUAUUAGGAGGAACACCAGUGGCGAAGGCGGCUUGCUGGACGAUGACUGACGUUGAGGCUCGAAAGCGUGGGGAGCAAACAGGAUUAGAUACCC